GGGCAAGCACCCUGGUUUUUGUGGGGUGAGGAUGGAGUUUGCGGCACUGUGAUUAUUAUGGUAUGGACUACUGGGGCCAGGGGACACUGGUCACCGUCUCCUCAGAUAGUGUGUCUUCCCCGAACCUCUUUCCCCUCAUCUCCUGUGAGAACUCCCUGUCUGAUGACAGCCGGGUGACUGUGGGCUGCCUGGCCAAGGACUUCCUGCCCAGCCCCGUCACCUUCUCGUGGAGCUAUAAGAACAACAGCGGCAUCAGCAGCCAGGACAUCCAGAAUUUCCCGUCGGUCCUGAGAGAGGGCAAGUAUGCUGCCAGCUCCCAGGUGGUCCUGCCCUCUAUCAACAUCAACCAGGGUACAGAUGAGUUUGUGCUGUGCAAUGUCAAACACUCCAACGGUGACAAAAAAGUGCAAGUGCCAAUCCAAGGUGCGGACAGUGGGGACCCACUGUCCCCCAAUGUGAACAUCUUCAUCCCACCCCGUGAUGCCUUCUCUGGUGCCAGCCCCCGCAAGUCCAGGCUCAUCUGCCAGGCCACAGGCUUCCGCCCCAAGAAGAUCUUUGUGUCCUGGCUGCAGGAUGGAAAGCCUCUGGGCUCCAACUUCACCACAGACAAGGUGCAGGCUGAGCCCAAAGGGCCUGGACCCGUGACCUACAGUGUCAGCAGCAUGCUGAUGAUCACCGAGAGUGACUGGCUCAGCCAGAGUCUGUUCACGUGCCAAGUGGAUCACAAUGGGCUGAGCUUUCAGAAGAACGUGUCAUCUGUGUGUAAUACUGGUGCAUCUAACAUCAAAAUCUUCACCAUUCCCCCAUCCUUUGCCAGCACCUUUCUCACCAAGAAUGCCAAGCUGUCCUGCCUAGUCACAGACCUGACCACCUAUGACACCCUGACCAUCUCCUGGACCCGUCAGAAUGGCAAGGAUCUAAAAACCCACACCAACAUCUCUGAGAUCCUUCCCAAUGCCACCUUCAGAGCUGUAGGAGAGGCCACCGUGUGUAUGGAGGAAUGGGAGUCAGGAGAAGAGUUCACGUGCACGGUGACCCACGCAGACCUGCCCUUCCCACUGAAGCACACCAUUUCCAAGCCCAAAGAAGUUGACAAGCAAAUGCCCUCUGUGUAUGUGCUACCACCUACCAGGGAACAGCUGAGCCUUCGGGAGUCAGCCUCAGUCACCUGCCUGGUGAAGGGCUUUUCACCCCCAGACAUAUUCGUUCAGUGGAUGCAGAGAGGACAGCCUAUGUCUUCUGACAUGUAUGUGACCAGCUCCCCACUGCCCGAGCCCCAGGUCCCUGGCCGGUACUUCAUCCACAGCAUCCUGACCGUGAGUGAAGAGGACUGGAGUGCUGGGGACACCUAUACCUGCAUUGUGGCCCAUGAGGCCCUGCCUCACUUGGUGACCGAGAGGACCGUGGACAAGUCCACUGAGGGAGAGGUAAGUGCUGAGGAGGAAGGUUUUGAGAACCUGAACACCAUGGCCUCCACCUUCAUCGUCCUGUUCCUGCUCAGUCUAUUCUACAGCACCACAGUCACCCUGUUCAAGGUGAAAUGACCCACCGGACAGGAACACGGACACCAAGGAGCUGGUACCAAGGGGGCGCCCGCUGCCUUCAGCUCAGGGCCCUUAAAUCUGCCCGUGCUACCUGCUAGCUGCCAGCACUAAGGAGUGGUUUCUCUGGACACGGCUUGUGUGGAGGGAGUAUGGGGCACAGGUGUCGCUUUGCAAUGAGUAUGCUUGUCGCCUUGAAAUAAAUAUGCACAUUUUA
Non-coding RNA from Artibeus jamaicensis (Jamaican fruit-eating bat), 1758 nucleotides. Lineage: Eukaryota; Metazoa; Chordata; Mammalia; Chiroptera; Phyllostomidae. The record is from the annotation of a RefSeq genome assembly.